GGAGAAGCAAAGUGAUGAGCCUUACUGCUGGAGCUCCAAAGAGGCACGCGCACGCGCGAGUGUGUGUGUGUGUGUGUGUGUGUGUGUGUGUAUGUAUCUGUAUCUGUAUCCUUGUCCGUGCAUACACGUGUAUGUCUGCGAGUAUGAAUGAGUGUGACAGGUUGUAGGGAACUAGUUAUGUGCCUGCUUUUGGACCAUGACAGUCAAACUGAUAAGAUCUGAUUGCUUU
Hippopotamus amphibius kiboko is the source of this 229-nucleotide small nucleolar RNA. RefSeq annotates it as small nucleolar RNA ZL1. Lineage: Eukaryota; Metazoa; Chordata; Mammalia; Artiodactyla; Hippopotamidae. The record is from RefSeq and is a predicted model, not a curated record. The transcript has a single exon.